AGAACUGUCAAACAAUUUUUAAAAUCUACUAAAAUGUAUGAAAGUUGGCCUAGUGGCAGCUUUACUUCACUUGCUUGAAGCGCUUUAAAGUAUCGAUUAGCCGAAAUCUCUAUUUGACAGCGCGCUGUAGGCUUUUGACAACUCUUGACAUUUCAAUUUUUCGCGUCGAUUUUGCUUGUGUGCAGUUUUUAUCGCGUUCUUCAUCAAUUUUAGAUACCUUGCUUUUUAUCGUUCCGGCCACCAGAUUCGUUGGUUUUCAUAAAGUUUCAUUUGCCUGUGCCACUUCCACCCGUGUUUAUAAGGCGUAAUAUUCAACUGGAGAUACCUUGCUUUUUAUCGUUCCGGCCACCAGAUUCGUUGGUUUUCAUAAAGUUGCAUUUGGCUGUGCCACUUCCACCCGUGUUUAUAAGGCGUAAUAUUCAACUGGAGAUACUUCAGAGACGAACUUGGCCUUAUUUCGAUGCUAUGUUGUUUUUGAAAGACACGGUCACGCCCAGACAAACAACAACAAACAUCGUCUCCCAAACGCCAGAAGUUCUCGGACAAGAACCAGAUAUACUGGAUACUUCCUUUGGAUUCCAAAUAGGCGAGAGUGGGAACAUUAUAAUAGAAGAGCAAGAAACCACUGCCCCAACGCCGGCUAAGAGACAAAAGAAAAAAAACGAUGAGAACGCCGCCUUUAACGAUCUAGUCAACGAAGUAAGUCAGUUUGUGGAUAGUCAAAAAAAAAAAACACACACAACAAUUUCUUGGGUGCGAUUGGCGAAGUGUUUGAGAAGGUCCCAGAAGAGAGCCGCCUAGAUUUUCAAAUGGACGUACUUCAAUACGUCUAUGCUCAAUAUAAAAAUUAUAAAAAUUGAAUUUACGAAAUUUAAAAAUUUAAAUGACAUCCAGUUUGAUUUCAAAGGUUUGACUGAAAGGUAUAUUGUUUGUAACCACUAUACUGUGUAAAACGGUUUUAACUUAAAAGACUGAAUGAAAUAUAUGUUAUGUUAACGCCAUACUUACCUUGAACAAAAAUUAAUUUAAAAACCUGAAAGAUGUGACGACAUUUAAAACAUUACCAAUAAGUGCCCUCAUACUGUGAGUUCAAAUUUUUGUUUUCUAUCUUAAAUAAUAAAAACAAAGCAUAUUCAGUGAGUAGUAAUUAUUUAAAUU
Long non-coding RNA from Rhagoletis pomonella (apple maggot), 1158 nucleotides. RefSeq lists it as uncharacterized. NCBI's taxonomy places the organism in Eukaryota, Metazoa, Arthropoda, Insecta, Diptera, Tephritidae. The transcript is spliced from 5 exons. The record is from RefSeq and is a predicted model, not a curated record.